GGUCCGCCGGACCAGGAUAUGGGCGCAGCAGACCGCAGGCGGAGGAACCGACGAGGAGUAAUUGUAUGGCUUGGAGAUUUCGGAUGCCCAAAACAUGGUUUCGGGCACUCGAAACUGGCCGUUUCUGCAGGGACAGCAGAUUGGUGGUGGUUGUUCCUGGGGCUUAUCUGAUCAUUCCUCCACACUAUAAAUAAAUGCUUGUGGAUUGCAGUUUCAGCAGAAUUUCAGCAGCGACCUUCGGCGUUUUGGCUCGUGUGCGACGUAGGAAGCUCCGUUUGCUACAAAACUUGAUUUGUUGGAUUCUAGACUUCAAGAGAAAUUCGUAGAGCCCAAAUUGACAGAAUUUGGUUAAGGAGUUGGAUUGUGAACUAGAGAUUGAUACUCCAGCACAGCCCACUAGUUUUGGAACCUUCCUUCAUCUGAUUUGAGCUUUGGAAGAUCAUUCGAGUAGCCUAGUUGCUGGUUGUGGUGUUCUCGGCUGAGGCUUUUGGCAACUUCGUGACCUUCUCGAUGCCAUGGACUGAGCGCUAGAGAGCCUUCGGUUGCGACUGCUGCUACUGCGAAUUCUGAUCGUAGAAAGGAGUCGCGAGUUAGAUCCCUUCCCAGUUGCUGCGGAUCUAGAGUAUACCGGCUACAGAUAGUGGUAGUUUUGAGUUCUUAUACAUACUUAUGUUGUAUCUCGCUGGAGCGAGC
Molecule: long non-coding RNA, 693 nt
Organism: Ananas comosus (pineapple)
Lineage: Eukaryota; Viridiplantae; Streptophyta; Magnoliopsida; Poales; Bromeliaceae
Exons: 5
Source: RefSeq, a predicted model, not a curated record